GCUUACGGCCAAACCAGCCUGAA
This 23-nucleotide ribosomal RNA is filed under the name Chelon auratus (golden grey mullet). Lineage: Eukaryota; Metazoa; Chordata; Actinopteri; Mugiliformes; Mugilidae. The record is from RNAcentral.